This 492-nucleotide ribosomal RNA is filed under the name uncultured bacterium. RNAcentral's name for it is "partial 16S ribosomal RNA". It matches the Rfam family "Bacterial small subunit ribosomal RNA", at positions 30 to 507 of the family's 1533-position model. The record is from RNAcentral.
AUUGAACGCUGGCGGCAUGCUUUACACAUGCAAGUCGAACGGUAACAGGCCUUCGGGUGCUGACGAGUGGCGAACGGGUGAGUAAUGCAUCGGAACGUGCCCAGAGGUGGGGGAUAACGCAGCGAAAGCUGUGCUAAUACCGCAUGUGAUCUGAGGAUGAAAGCGGGGGACCAGGCAGCAAUGUUUGGCCUCGCGCCUUUGGAGCGGCCGAUGUCAGAUUAGGUAGUUGGUGGGGUAAAGGCCUACCAAGCCGACGAUCUGUAGCUGGUCUGAGAGGACGACCAGCCACACUGGGACUGAGACACGGCCCAGACUCCUACGGGAGGCAGCAGUGGGGAAUUUUGGACAAUGGGCGCAAGCCUGAUCCAGCAAUGCCGCGUGCGGGAAGAAGGCCUUCGGGUUGUAAACCGCUUUUGUACGGAACGAAAAGGCUCUGGCUAAUACCUGGGGCUGAUGACGGUACCGUAAGAAUAAGCACCGGCCAACUACGUG